Molecule: transfer RNA, 82 nt
Filed under: Parasteatoda tepidariorum (common house spider)
Lineage: Eukaryota; Metazoa; Arthropoda; Arachnida; Araneae; Theridiidae
Description: transfer RNA cysteine (anticodon GCA)
Rfam family: tRNA
About the family: Transfer RNA (tRNA) molecules are approximately 80 nucleotides in length.
Source: RNAcentral
GACGAGGUGGCCGAGUGAUUAAGGCGAUGGACUGCAAAUCCAUUGGGCUCUGCCCGCGUGGGUUCAAAUACCAUCCUCGUCG